UCUCCAUUAAUAUCUUAGAAUAUCAUUUGUAUCUGUGGAUUUUAGCUUUCACUGUCAUCCAAAUGAUUCCACUUCAGAUUGAGUCCUAAUCUGCAACAACUCUUUGCAGCUUACAAUCAGUUGAACAUGCAUUCUCUCUCAAUCUUUAUGGAUGGCUUUAAGUUCAUUAACUUUUGUUAUGACGAAGUUGAUGAUGAUGAUUAUUCUGAACACUGUAUUCGCUGCAAAGAUGCAUACCAUACAGCCCCAAGGCACAUUAGGACAGAGGACCAUCAUCAAAACAUUAUCUAUUCUGACUCACCCAGUGCACUGCAGCCUCUGAUCUCUCAGAAAUUUUCCUGCUUAUCUAAUCGUCUUUAGAAAGCUUUCUCUUUUGUCAAAAAGAGGAAUGAACUGACUGACACUGUUAUCAAUCUGUGAAUGACUAUUUCUAAUCAUUCACAAAUUUUCAGUGUCCCUAAUACUUAAAUAAACUGCUUUAUAAUUACUCAGUAUCAACUAGUGGGU
Molecule: long non-coding RNA, 507 nt
Filed under: Androctonus crassicauda
Lineage: Eukaryota; Metazoa; Arthropoda; Arachnida; Scorpiones; Buthidae
Source: RNAcentral